UCUAGUCUAUAUUUUCGAUAAGAUAUAUUAAUUAUUCCAUAAACCUAAAAAAUCAACUUUUUCUUAUAAUAAGGACAUGAGGGAGUAGUUGCAUGAAUUAAUUUGUUCCAUGCCAAAUUAAGUGUCAUGCCACUACAUAUUUACAUGCCAAAUCAAGUUAAUUCCUAAUCAAUCAAUAUACUACUAUAUAACCAUGUCGUUGGGAACAUAUAAGCAUAUUUUCAUGGAGCCAACUCAAAAGAAGUGAUAGUAGCACACAUUAUAUCUCAUUUCUAUGCAACAAUUACUCCAACGCUUUCAAUUUCCGAUGUGUACAGUACUACUGUAGUAGUAAACAAAUGGAGAUGAUAUCAACGUUCUUACUUCAAUAAAAAAUAAUAAAUUGUCUUUUUAAUCAAAUUUGAUGCUGGUGGUUUUUUGGUCAUGAUUGUGAUCUCUAUAUGUUGUGGGCUGCACUUGUUUUUGUAAUUAGACUUUCGACCCGUGCGACACACGGAUCUCAACGACUAUAAUAGAGACCAAUGAAUGAUCUUUAACUCGUUAGAAGUACGAAUUAUUUCAUGUUGCAUUUAAAGUUCAUGCCACUGGUAAAAUAGUACCACUUGAUACUUUCUUUUCUGAUAGAUGCAAUUGACGUUUCUAGUGGUUAUAUAAAAUCUCACGAUUCAUUAUCUUAACCUACAUUAUGUUGUCCAAUAUAAGAAUAGCCACUAAUGAUUAAAUGGAAUGAUAUCAAAACUCAAUGAAGCCUAAAAGAAUUCAUUGACUUGUUAACACUUCAUUAUUCUUCAUGUCCAAUUUUCAUUCCUUAACAAUUUAUUUGUUUUGAUACACUUUGUAUUCUACAAACACAACAUUAACAACAAAUUAGAGAGUCAUAAAGAGAAAUAGGCAUAGCAUAUCAUGACAACACAGCAUAUCAUAGUGCACUUCAACAAAUAAUCCAAUACACCAAUGAUGCUGAAACUAGGAAC
Molecule: long non-coding RNA, 974 nt
Filed under: Medicago truncatula (barrel medic)
Lineage: Eukaryota; Viridiplantae; Streptophyta; Magnoliopsida; Fabales; Fabaceae
Description: long non-coding RNA (MTRU_LNC003431)
Source: RNAcentral